AGCGAACGCUGGCGGCAGGCCUAACACAUGCAAGUCGAACGGAUCCUUCGGGAUUAGUGGCGGACGGGUGAGUAACACGUGGGAACGUGCCCUUUGGUUCGGAACAACUCAGGGAAACUUGAGCUAAUACCGGAUGUGGCCUUCGGGGAAAGAUUUAUCGCCAUUGGAGCGGCCCGCGUCUGAUUAGCUAGUUGGUGAGGUAAAGGCUCACCAAGGCGACGAUCAGUAGCUGGUCUGAGAGGAUGAUCAGCCACAUUGGGACUGAGACACGGCCCAAACUCCUACGGGAGGCAGCAGUGGGGAAUCUUGCGCAAUGGGCGAAAGCCUGACGCAGCCAUGCCGCGUGAAUGAUGAAGGUCUUAGGAUUGUAAAAUUCCUUCACCGGGGACGAUAAUGACGGUACCCGGAGAAGAAGCCCCGGCUAACUUCGUGUCAGCCGCCGCAGUAA
Molecule: ribosomal RNA, 448 nt
Filed under: uncultured bacterium
Lineage: Bacteria
Description: partial 16S ribosomal RNA
Rfam family: Bacterial small subunit ribosomal RNA
Source: RNAcentral